CCUUGGUCAGAAUGAGCUGCAGAGAGUCGUGCAGGUGUGAAUAUAAAUGCAGCUUGAUGCAGUAAUGAAGGGUUUGUUCGGAGACCUCGGCUCACACAGAAGGUCAAAGGCUUUAAAAGCAAAGCUAACCUUCACAUCGGCUCUUCAGACUGAUGAGCGAUUAAAAACUUUGACAGCCAAUCAGAAUCAAUCCUGCUGGAGAAUUUAAAGUGGUAGAUGAGCGUUUGCUUAGAAUAAACAGACGAUAUCGUCUGCUGCUGUGGAUGUUGUGUCUUUGAAUGUCUUUGGAGUGGAAGAUGAAGCUGUGAGGAGCAUCAAUGCACUGAAGCUGAGCUGCAGAAACACGCUUAACACGAGUCCAGAGUCCAGACAGAAGCAAUGCACCCUGGGAAUCAAGUGCAGCAUUUUUCCCCAAUCAGACGCUGAUUAUGAAUGUGAGAGGACCCUCGGCUCGAGCAUUGAUGGCUUCUCUGUCAUUUUUACACAGUGGACACACUUGAGAUUGUUUGGCAGCUCGGUGAGAGGGCCUCUGCUGAACUGGCGAGCCAAACAAAUCAGCAGCUCACAGUCAGUGCGGUGAUCACCAAAAGCACAUUCACAGAGGAUGAUGGGUGGACGGAUGUCGGCUCUCUUUUAUUAAAGCUCAUCUCUGCGUGUAAUUGGCUCAGAGAUGGCUGAUAAUCUGCCGUGGAAGAUAUUUGUCUCCGACUUGUUCCGUGUCCUUCUCAGCUGGAGCCAAAUUAUCAUACUCUCAAAAUGAAGAUCUAUUCCUGGAAUAUUCUUGGAGCAACACCGAAUCAUCAGACGGAUUGCAUUAAUAUAACUGUUUUAAUUCUUCAUGUCUGCUCACCAAAACGUCUGAAAAACUGUGAACAAUAAUCAAAUAUUCAUGCCAUCUGGAGUCGUGGCGUCUUGAUAGUUCAGGAAUUGGGACGGUUAUGCAAUAAUAGCAGGUUUAAUUGGAUUAGUACAUAGCAGAUCUUUGAAUCUGGAUCACAUUACAGCCUGUUUUGACAAAGAAACACUCACUGCUUUAAGCGUAAUUUGGCAACACCUUACAAAAGGGUUCCAGUUGUAUCUCCAAUUCAGUUUUUUUUUUUCCCGCCACGGAAUAUUUAAUAAAAAAUUAAUUGUGACUUUUUAUCUAGAGUUUCUCAGUUUAUAUCUCUCAAUUAGGACUUUGUUUGUAAAAUAUUAACUUUUUUCCUUGCAAUUGUGAGAUUACAUCUUAUAAAAGUUUUUUUCAUGUCUCCUCUGUGGAAUAAAAAAGUGACUUUUUAUCUCACAAUUCUAAAUUGCUUUCUCACAAUUGGAAAUCUCACAAGAAAAAAAGGCAAAUUCUAUUCAAGUUCUAAUUCUUUUUUAAUUUCCAACACAUAAUAAAAAAUGUAAUUGCAUCUUUUUUUGUAACUAUGUUUGUUCGUUGUUGUUGUUUUCUUGCAGUUGUGAGAUAAUGACUCACAAUUGGGACACUUCUUCUCAGAAUUGCAAAUUUAUAAUUCUGACUUUAAAAAAAAAAUGUGAGGAUAAAAGCUAAAAAAAAAAAAAAGGUUCCUGUAGUGAAACAGGCUUCUAUAGUCAACAACAUUCAAUUAAAAAUACUUCUAAAGCAUUUAUUAAUCUUAGUUCAUGUUCAUUUUAGUGUUUACAAAUACAUUAUUCAAAUCAAAAGUUGUAUCUAUGAAUAUUAUUUAAUGGACCUGAUCUAACAUUUGCAUUUUUAUUAAUUAACUUUAACAAUAAUUAAUAAAUACUGUAACAAACAUAUGUUUCAUUAACUAAUGGGUUAUUGUAAAGUGCUGUUACCCAAAAAGAAAACAUUUGCGAAAGAAAAUAAAAUAAACGUAAUUUAAAGUGUAUUCUUAUAUAUUUCACAAUUUGAUUUAAAAUUGUUUUAAGGGUGUUUAGAUGGAAAACAAGUCAACAAUAAUGAUCACUGAAAUGAAAUAAUGAAAAAUAAGCACUGUGUUUUACCUUUAUACCUGCCUAAAAUCUGUCAG
Cyprinus carpio carpio is the source of this 2000-nucleotide long non-coding RNA. The record is from Ensembl. NCBI's taxonomy places the organism in Eukaryota, Metazoa, Chordata, Actinopteri, Cypriniformes, Cyprinidae.